UCCGCGAGGCGACUCGCGUCGGGCGGCGACUCGGAGGGCGACGACGACCGGACCUCCUCCCCUCCCCACCUCCGGCAACCGAACCCCCACCCCUCCCCACUCCGGCAACUAGACCCAAGCCCCUCCACACAUCGCCUCGAAGCCCCUCCCCUCCCCGCCGGAGUGCCUCGAAGAUCUGGAGCUGUACUCCGCCACCAUCGUACCCCAGGUCCGCCUUCAAGAUCUUCUCCUCUCCGGCAGCAACGACGGUGGUCCGAUCCAGAUUCUUGGUACAACGAGGAGCAAGAAACGAGCGAGGAUCUGUUGUGAGGCGAUGAAUCCUGAAGUCCACAAGGUCUUGGAGCUGGACAACACUUGGACAACAAUGAUUUACUCCAUGAAGUAUCUCAUUUUUGGUUUUGUACUCUAGCUAUGUGACUCCGGCACCAGCAGCAACAAUCAAAACAGCUGCAAGUUCAGAAACUGACCGAGGUAAAAUGUUGCACUUCAGGGCUGAGCAGAAGAUGUCGUCCAUCCUUUCGUGCGAGAACACCAAGAAGUCGUCGAUCGAAGCGAAGCUGCGCACACGAGAGAGAGAAGAAGCACUCGUGAUCAUGGACGACACUUGGGUGGCGUGGCCGCCGGUUUUUGGUCACGGGAGAAUCUAGAUUGACGAGUUGGAGCUGCCAGCGAGACCCCUGGCCGCGACGGCGACGAAGGGCUCAGUUUCUUCUGGCUGCGGCGGCGAGUCAGGGCACAAUUCCUCUGGCCGCGGCGUCGAGGGAGGGCCAAAAUUCGUUGAUGAAUUUGUUCCUCGGUGGCAAACAGCGAGGGAGGGCUCAGCUUCUUCUUGCCGCGGCAGCGAGUCAGGGCCCAAAUUCGUCAAUGAAAUCGUUUGUCGGAGGCAGACAGCGAGGGAUCUGCACAGUCGGGGGAGAACGACGAUGGGAGCAGCGCGGCCGUAGGAGGGAGUGUGGCUAGCAGGCCACCGGCCGCCAGGUCGACCCGCCCCGUCCUGCGUCGGCGACCUCCUCCGCCUACACGAUGCUGGCGUCCGCGAGCUCGUUCCGCUCGUUCGCGUUAUCGACGAUGGAGUCCGGGAGCUCGUGUGCAUCCGCUGUAUGCUGGCCUGCGCGUCAGCGCGAUGGAAGCAGGCCGGUGAUGGAGCAGACGAGCGACGGCGAGAAGAAUGUGUUUUUGCAAUUUGAUUUGAAGCCCAGAUCUGAACUAAUCAGAGUUUAUUAGGGGGUGUUUUGCAAAAAUGUAAAUGAACUGGGGGAGGGAGGGCUUCGACAUCUUUUGCGUGACGGAGGGAGUAUGAAGAAACGUUGAAUUUUGGCUUUA
This is a long non-coding RNA of Lolium rigidum, 1323 nucleotides long. RefSeq lists it as uncharacterized. The transcript has 5 exons. NCBI's taxonomy places the organism in Eukaryota, Viridiplantae, Streptophyta, Magnoliopsida, Poales, Poaceae. The record is from RefSeq and is a predicted model, not a curated record.